Molecule: ribosomal RNA, 253 nt
Filed under: uncultured bacterium
Lineage: Bacteria
Description: partial 16S ribosomal RNA
Rfam family: Bacterial small subunit ribosomal RNA
Source: RNAcentral
UACGUAGGGUGCAAGCGUUGUUCGGAAUUACUGGGCGUAAAGGGUUCGUAGGUGGCUUGCUAAGUCAGACGUGAAAUCCCUCAGCUUAACUGGGGAACUGCGUCUGAGACUGGUGAGCUUGAGUGCAGGAGAGGAACGCGGAAUUCCAGGUGUAGCGGUGAAAUGCGUAGAUAUCUGGAGGAACACCGGUGGCGAAGGCGGCGUUCUGGACUGCUACUGACACUGAGGAACGAAAGCCAGGGGAGCAAACGGG